RNAcentral lists this ribosomal RNA (254 nucleotides) under uncultured bacterium. RNAcentral describes it as "partial 16S ribosomal RNA". It matches the Rfam family "Bacterial small subunit ribosomal RNA", at positions 524 to 776 of the family's 1533-position model. The record is from RNAcentral.
UACGUAGGGGGCGAGCGUUACCCGGAUUUACUGGGCGUAAAGCGCGUGUAGGCGGCUGGUCAAGCGUGGUGUGAAAUCUCCGGGCUCAACCCGGAAACUGCAUUGCGAACUGACCUAGCUGGAGUGCAGGAGAGGGCAGCGGAAUUCCCGGUGCAGCGGUGAAAUGCGUAGAUAUCGGGAAGAACACCAGUGGCGAAGGCGGCAUCCUGGACCGAUACUGACGCUGAGGAGCGAAAGCCAGGGGAGCAAAUGGG